AGUGAACGCUGGCGGUAGGCCUAACACAUGCAAGUCGAACGGCAGCACAGUAAGAGCUUGCUCUUACGGGUGGCGAGUGGCGGACGGGUGAGGAAUACAUCGGAAUCUACUUUUUCGUGGGGGAUAACGUAGGGAAACUUACGCUAAUACCGCAUACGACCUACGGGUGAAAGCAGGGGAUCUUCGGACCUUGCGCGAUUGAAUGAGCCGAUGUCGGAUUAGCUAGUUGGCGGGGUAAAGGCCAACCAAGGCGACGAUCCGUAGCUGGUCUGAGAGGAUGAUCGGCCACACUGGAACUGAGACACGGUCCAGACGCCUACGGGAGGCAGCAGUGUGGAAUAUUGGACAAUGGGCGCAAGCCUGAUCCAGCCAUACCGCGUGGGUGAAGAAGGCCUUCGGGUUGUAAAGCCCUUUUGUUGGGAAAGAAAAGCAGCAGGUUAAUACCCCGCUGUUCUGACGGUACCCAAAGAAUAAGCACCGGCUAACUUCGUG
Molecule: ribosomal RNA, 492 nt
Filed under: uncultured bacterium
Lineage: Bacteria
Description: partial 16S ribosomal RNA
Rfam family: Bacterial small subunit ribosomal RNA
Source: RNAcentral